RNAcentral lists this long non-coding RNA (746 nucleotides) under Coffea arabica (coffee). RNAcentral describes it as "long non-coding RNA (CARA_LNC003067)". The record is from RNAcentral. Lineage: Eukaryota; Viridiplantae; Streptophyta; Magnoliopsida; Gentianales; Rubiaceae.
ACUCCUGCUCCUAAGAGUGUAGACAAAGUCCUGUUGAGGAUGAUCAUAACUUACGAGCAAGCACCAGGCUUGCAUCUGGUUCAACCGUCCUUGGCAACCAGCUAUGGAAGGACUCUUUCACCUCCUCCUCCACCAAUGCCAGCAUCACCAACUCACUAUCAUGAAGCAAGCCAUGGAGUCGAGCAAACGCCAGGCUUACAUCUGGUUCAACCGUCCUUGGCAACCAGCUAUGGAAGGACUCUUUCACCUCCUCCUCCACCAAUGCCAGCAUCACCAACUCACUAUCAUGAAGCAAGCCAUGGAGUCGAGCCAACGCCAGGCUUACAUCUGGUUCAACCGUCCUUGGCAACCAGCUAUGGAAGGACUCUUUCACCUCCUCCUCCACCAAUGCCAGCAUCACCAACUCACUAUCAUGAAGCAAGCCAUGGAGUCGAGCAAACGCCAGGCUUACAUCUGGUUCAACCGUCCUUGGCAACCAGCUAUGGAAGGACUCCUUCACCUCCUCCUUCACCAAAGCCAGCAUCACCAACUCACUAUCAUGAAGCAAGACAUGGAGUCUAUGAAUCACCUCCAAAUCCCUUCCUAGCCUCAAGCUAAAGCUUGUUCUGACUGAUCAAAGGUGUGGACGGUGAAUAUGCAUGAAGAUCUUCUAGUCUAAGUUCUAGUAUUACUUGUAGUAGCCGCUUGAAGCAAUAAAGUCUUUUCUGCUGCUUGUGCUUUUCCCUUAUAAAUGUAACUUCCACUAU